UUCCAGACUCCUACGGGAGGCAGCAGUGGGGAAUAUUGCACAAUGGGGGGAACCCUGAUGCAGCGACGCCGCGUGAAGGAAGAAGUAUUUCGGUAUGUAAACUUCUAUCAGCAGGGAAGAAAAUGACGGUACCUGACUAAGAAGCCCCGGCUAACUACGUGCCAGCAGCCGCGGUAAUACGUAGGGGGCAAGCGUUAUCCGGAUUUACUGGGUGUAAAGGGAGCGUAGGCGGCAGUGCAAGUCAGAAGUGAAAGCCCAAGGCUCAACCAUGGGACUGCUUUUGAAACUGUACAGCUAGAUUGCAGGAGAGGUAAGUGGAAUUCCUAGUGUAGCGGUGAAAUGCGUAGAUAUUAGGAGGAACACCAGUGGCGAAGGCGGCUUACUGGACUGUAAAUGACGCUGAGGCUCGAAAGCGUGGGGAGCAAACAGGAUUAGAUACCCUUGUAC
RNAcentral lists this ribosomal RNA (447 nucleotides) under uncultured bacterium. Its description in RNAcentral is "bacterial SSU rRNA". It matches the Rfam family "Bacterial small subunit ribosomal RNA", at positions 329 to 793 of the family's 1533-position model. The record is from RNAcentral.